This 107-nucleotide small RNA is filed under the name Marmota monax (woodchuck). The record is from RNAcentral. Lineage: Eukaryota; Metazoa; Chordata; Mammalia; Rodentia; Sciuridae.
GCUGGGCGUGGUGGUGCCUACCUGUAAUCCCAGCGACUUAGAAGGCUGAGGCAGGAGGAUUGCGAGUUCAAAGCUAGCCUCAGCAAUUUAGCAAGACCCUGUCUCUA